Molecule: small nucleolar RNA, 143 nt
Organism: Trifolium pratense (red clover)
Lineage: Eukaryota; Viridiplantae; Streptophyta; Magnoliopsida; Fabales; Fabaceae
Product: small nucleolar RNA snoR135
Exons: 1
Source: RefSeq, a predicted model, not a curated record
UGAGCAGGGAUUGUGUGUAUUGGUAUUGUGCUGCAAUUGCACUCUUCCAAAAGAGUUCCCUGCAACAUAAAUUUGGGCAAGAUGGGCAGUUGUGUUUCAUCUUUACAGUUGGUAUUGUGCUGCAAUUUUUCCUGUUUACUUUU